CUACGGGACGCUCCAGUGGGGAAUAUUGCACAAUGGAGGAAACUCUGAUGCAGCAACGCCGCGUGGAGGAUGACACUUUUCGGAGCGUAAACUCCUUUUAUAUAGGAAGAUAAUGACGGUACUAUAUGAAUAAGCACCGGCUAACUCCGUGCCAGCAGCCGCGGUAAUACGGAGGGUGCAAGCGUUACUCGGAAUCACUGGGCGUAAAGAGCGUGUAGGCGGGUUAAUAAGUCAGAAGUGAAAUCCUAUGGCUCAACCAUAGAACUGCUUUUGAAACUGUUAACCUAGAAUAUGGGAGAGGUAGAUGGAAUUUCUGGUGUAGGGGUAAAAUCCGUAGAGAUCAGAAGGGAUACCGAUUGCGAAGGCGAUCUACUGGAACAUUAUUGACGCUGAGACGCGAAAGUGUGGGGAGCAAACAGGAUUAGAUACCCCGGUAGUC
Molecule: ribosomal RNA, 439 nt
Filed under: uncultured bacterium
Lineage: Bacteria
Description: partial 16S ribosomal RNA
Rfam family: Bacterial small subunit ribosomal RNA
Source: RNAcentral